UGAGGAAUAUUGGGCAAUGCCCGCAAGGGUGACCCAGCAACGCCGCGUGGAGGAUGAAUGUCGUAAGAUUGUAAACUCCUGUUAGAGGGGAAGAAUAGUACCGGUUGGACCGGUAUAUGACUGUACCCUCAGAGAAAGCCCCGGCUAACUACGUGCCAGCAGCCGCGGUAAUACGUAGGGGGCAAGCGUUGUCCGGAUUUACUGGGUGUAAAGGGCGCGCAGGCGGGAUAAAAAGUCAGUGGUGAAAUCCUACAGCUUAACUGUAGAACUGCCUUUGAUACUUUUAGUCUUGGGUUCGGGAGAGAGAGACGGAAGUCCAGGUGUAGUAGUGAAAUACGUAGAUAUCUGCAAGAACACCAGUUGCGAAGGCGGUCUCUUGGUCCGACACUGACGCUGAGGCGCGAAAGCGUGGGGAGCAAACA
RNAcentral lists this ribosomal RNA (422 nucleotides) under uncultured bacterium. RNAcentral's name for it is "bacterial SSU rRNA". It matches the Rfam family "Bacterial small subunit ribosomal RNA", at positions 355 to 774 of the family's 1533-position model. The record is from RNAcentral.